This 270-nucleotide ribosomal RNA is filed under the name uncultured bacterium. Its description in RNAcentral is "partial 16S ribosomal RNA". It matches the Rfam family "Bacterial small subunit ribosomal RNA", at positions 29 to 327 of the family's 1533-position model. The record is from RNAcentral.
AACGAACGCUGGCGGCAGGCCUCAAACAUGCAAGUCUAGGGGUGUAGCAAUACACACCGGCGGACGGGUGCGUAACGCGUGGGAACAUACCUUUCGGUACGGAACAACCCAGGGAAACUUGGGCUAAUACCGUAUACGCCCUAACGGGGAAAGAAUUUCGCCGAAGGAUUGGCCCGCGUUCGAUUAGCUAGUUGGUGAGGUAACGGCUCACCAAGGCUACGAUCGAUAGCUGUUCUGAGAGGAAGAUCAGCCACACUGGGACUGAGACAC